RNAcentral lists this ribosomal RNA (444 nucleotides) under Escherichia coli. Its description in RNAcentral is "partial 23S ribosomal RNA". It matches the Rfam family "Bacterial large subunit ribosomal RNA", at positions 2259 to 2702 of the family's 2925-position model. RNAcentral also lists the same sequence under 2 other names. The record is from RNAcentral. Lineage: Bacteria; Pseudomonadati; Pseudomonadota; Gammaproteobacteria; Enterobacterales; Enterobacteriaceae.
UGGUGGGUAGUUUGACUGGGGCGGUCUCCUCCUAAAGAGUAACGGAGGAGCACGAAGGUUGGCUAAUCCUGGUCGGACAUCAGGAGGUUAGUGCAAUGGCAUAAGCCAGCUUGACUGCGAGCGUGACGGCGCGAGCAGGUGCGAAAGCAGGUCAUAGUGAUCCGGUGGUUCUGAAUGGAAGGGCCAUCGCUCAACGGAUAAAAGGUACUCCGGGGAUAACAGGCUGAUACCGCCCAAGAGUUCAUAUCGACGGCGGUGUUUGGCACCUCGAUGUCGGCUCAUCACAUCCUGGGGCUGAAGUAGGUCCCAAGGGUAUGGCUGUUCGCCAUUUAAAGUGGUACGCGAGCUGGGUUUAGAACGUCGUGAGACAGUUCGGUCCCUAUCUGCCGUGGGCGCUGGAGAACUGAGGGGGGCUGCUCCUAGUACGAGAGGACCGGAGUGGAC